This 2370-nucleotide long non-coding RNA is filed under the name Sus scrofa (pig). Its description in RNAcentral is "lncRNA (ENSSSCG00030014149.1)". The record is from RNAcentral. Lineage: Eukaryota; Metazoa; Chordata; Mammalia; Artiodactyla; Suidae.
UAUGGUUUAUUACAGGACAUUGAAUAUAGUUCAAGGGUGAGGCAUUGUGCAUUGUCUUAUGACACAGAAAUUUAGAAGAAAAGGCCAAGAGGAGACAGUCUAUCGAAUGAACUCCAAGCGGAGGCCCUGCAGGCAUGGGACAGGGGAAUAUAAAGAACAGGAUUGGAAUUUAUCUCCGGAAGAUUUGGGAGUAAACUAAAGAAAGGAGGAAGAGUCAUCUGUGGAAGCAGGGCUGCACCUGAGGUAUAGGGAGAUUCUCAGGUUAGGAGUCUAAACAUGUAGGAGAAAAUCUCCUGAUAAGAAGGUAGAAAGGAGAGACCCCGGCGGCCAUGAUGACUACGCAACGUCCAGCCAACGGCCCCAACCUCCCCUCCCCACACGUCUGCUUCUGUAAACUUGUUUCCACAUCAACUACCUUGCCUGACCUCACUCCAGUCCCACCAGCCAAGCACGGACCCAGAAGAGGUAGCCCUUAAAAGCCUUGUGAAACCCUUUUGGGGGCUCAGACUCCAGAGAGUGAUCUCCUCUGAGCCCGCAGGCAAAAUACACCUGAGUUCCCCGCCUCUCCGAGUGCUCGCUUGGUGAAAGAGCUGAUCCGCUGCAGCCACACGGCUGCUGGAGCUGUCACACUACAGCCACAGGGCUGCCGCCAGAGCUGAUACGCUGUGGCUGCAGGGCUGCUAGGCAGCUGCCAUAGCAUUUCUGGAGGCCCCAGGGAGAUUCCAACCAUUCUGGCCGCUUGAGCCACCUGAACGGCCGCAAGGCCGCCCGGGAGCCGGGGAGCCAUGAACCCAAUGAGGCGGCGAGCCACCCGACGGUAUUGUAGGUCCUCCUUCUUGAGGGGCAUUCCUGACUCCCAGGUGACCGAACCCUGACUGGACUCGGUGGAGAGACGGACCAACUCACCAGGAAGGCGUCUGGACAAGGUCUUUUCUUGCCUAUUUUCUUAGCGGAAGAAUGCUCUCCUCUUCCCUAUGGCUGGGUCUCCACGUAGUGGGCAGAUCUAGACUGUCCACGGAGCACGCCGACCAUCCUUUCUUCUCAUCUUAUAUUCCUGCCUUCCUCUUUCCAUCUCUUCCUCCUGAGUCCAAGAAAGAAGACAAGAUUAUGGGGGAAGCACAUAAUACACUUCAUAAUGAAACCAUGGGACCCACUCCUUUGUAUCUAUUAACAAAUGAAUAUAUUUAUUUUGAUGCUGCUAUUGUCUAUGUACAGACAGAAGAUCUGACCAAUAGGACGCGAUGGUGGUAUGACGGGGUUUCUGACCGUAACACCAUCAGAAUACCAUCAAAACAACAUUCUGAUUCUCAGCUGUCACCAUUGACUUUUUUUCUCUCUUUCCCUCCCCAGCUUUAUUGUGGUAUGACUGACAAAUAAAAAUGUAUACAGUUAAGAUAUAUGAUGUGAUGUUUUGAUAUACAUAUACAUUGUGAAAUAAUUACCAUGGGUAAGCUAAUUAGCCUAUUUGGCACCUUUUUUUGGUGUGUGGUAGGAAUAUUUAAGAUAUAGUCCAUUAGCAAAUUUCAGGUAUAGAGUAUAUUAACUAUUAGCUAUAGUCACCAUGGUGUACAUUAGGUUUUCAUCAUUGACUUUCUAAGAGUCAAAUUCAAUGAUUUCAUAUGAGUUUUGAUUCUCUCUGAUCUCUGCGUAAUACAUUUGAUUCUCUUAGCCAGUCCCUCCUUCCUGAAAUGCUUUACUUGGCUUUUUAGGCUUUUUAUGCUCAAUUACUUUACUAGUUACUUACUGUAACUCAAAUCUUUUGGUUUUAUUGCCCAGGAUUUAUUUGCUGGUCUUCAGGUAAAAGAUUUCUUAUGAGAACCCCUACAAUCUCAGCUCAUCAGAUUUACUUCUGCUAACAGCUCAAGAUGUGGGCACUGAUUGGCCUGCAGAUAUGAGUGAAGUAGGAAAAUGGGAGCUUGGAGCUUGCCGUAGCUAUUUGGCUACCACAUGGAAUUUGAGAGUGGAGCCUAAGUGUCAAGAAGCAGAGUGGAGAGAUGGAGCUCUUGGUGACAUACGGGCCUAUUAUAAACAUUUCAGAGAGAAGAGCCAAUAGAUCCUCCUUCUCCCCCAGGAUUUUGACUUAAACCGGUUUGAUUUAGGUUUUCUUCCUUUUACAAUCUAAACAACACUAAAACAGCCUGUGUUUUACUGUCCAUAGAGAAAAUUCUAGAAAGAUACAUUUCAAAGUGAUAGGUGUGCUUAUCUCUGGAGAAAGGGGACUGUCAUGAUGGGAGAGUUGUUUUGAUGGUAUUCUGGUGGUAUUAUGCUCAAAAAACCCUCUCUCAUUUCCCUUUUCUACAGUGGAUACUUAGUGUUCCUGGAGGUUGUAAAACAAAUAAAACAUGUACUUAAAACUUGGGCUUUCGAACU